UACGGGGGGAGCAAGCGUUGUUCGGAUUUACUGGGCGUAAAGGGCGCGUAGGCGGUCAGCACAAGUCAGUUGUGAAAUCUCCGGGCUUAGCUCGGAAAGGUCAACUGAUACUGUGCGACUAGAGUGCAGAAGGGGCAACUGGAAUUCUCGGUGUAGCGGUGAAAUGCGUAGAUAUCGAGAGGAACACCUGCGGCGAAGGCGGGUUGCUGGGCUGACACUGACGCUGAUGCGCGAAAGCCAGGGGAGCGAACGGG
This 254-nucleotide ribosomal RNA is filed under the name uncultured bacterium. Its description in RNAcentral is "partial 16S ribosomal RNA". It matches the Rfam family "Bacterial small subunit ribosomal RNA", at positions 524 to 776 of the family's 1533-position model. The record is from RNAcentral.